UAGGGAAUCUUCCACAAUGGACGAAAGUCUGAUGGAGCAACGCCGCGUGAGUGAAGAAGGGUUUCGGCUCGUAAAGCUCUGUUGUUAAAGAAGAACACGUAUGAGAGUAACUGUUCAUACGUUGACGGUAUUUAACCAGAAAGUCACGGCUAACUACGGCCAG
Molecule: ribosomal RNA, 163 nt
Filed under: uncultured bacterium
Lineage: Bacteria
Description: partial 16S ribosomal RNA
Rfam family: Bacterial small subunit ribosomal RNA
Source: RNAcentral